GAUGAACGCUGGCGGCGUGCUUAACACAUGCAAGUCGAACGAAGCACUUUAUUUGAUUUCCUUCGGGACUGAUUAUUUUGUGACUGAGUGGCGGACGGGUGAGUAACGCGUGGGUAACCUGCCUUGUACAGGGGGAUAACAGUUGGAAACGGCUGCUAAUACCGCAUAAGCGCACGGCAUCGCAUGAUGCAGUGUGAAAAACUCCGGUGGUAUAAGAUGGACCCGCGUUGGAUUAGCUGGUUGGUGAGGUAACGGCCCACCAAGGCGACGAUCCAUAGCCGACCUGAGAGGGUGACCGGCCACAUUGGGACUGAGACACGGCCCAAACUCCUACGGGAGGCAGCAGUGGGGAAUAUUGCACAAUGGGCGAAAGCCUGAUGCAGCGACGCCGCGUGAGCGAAGAAGUAUUUCGGUAUGUAAAGCUCUAUCAGCAGGGAAGAUAAUGACGGU
Molecule: ribosomal RNA, 450 nt
Filed under: uncultured bacterium
Lineage: Bacteria
Description: bacterial SSU rRNA
Rfam family: Bacterial small subunit ribosomal RNA
Source: RNAcentral